RNAcentral lists this ribosomal RNA (373 nucleotides) under uncultured bacterium. Its description in RNAcentral is "bacterial SSU rRNA". It matches the Rfam family "Bacterial small subunit ribosomal RNA", at positions 28 to 399 of the family's 1533-position model. The record is from RNAcentral.
GAUGAACGUUGGCGGCGUGCCUAAUACAUGCAAGUCGAACGGUAGGCGAGCAUUCGUGCUUGUUGAGAGUGGCGCACGGGUGAGUAACACGUAACUGAUCUGCCCCAUAUUUUGGGAUAACCUUUGGAAACAGAGGAUAAUACCGGAUAGCAGCGCAAUAGUUAGAGAGUUGCGCUAAAAGCGACUGAGCGAUAUGGGAUGGGGUUGCGUUCCAUCAGCUAGUUGGUGAGGUAAAGGCUUACCAAGGCGAUGACGGAUAGGGGAUCUGAGAGGGUGGCCCCCCACACUGGGACUGAGACACGGCCCAGACUCCUACGGGAGGCAGCAGUAAGGGAUAUUGCACAAUGGACGGAAGUCUGAUGCAGCGACGCCG